Molecule: ribosomal RNA, 1150 nt
Filed under: Enterococcus faecium
Lineage: Bacteria; Bacillati; Bacillota; Bacilli; Lactobacillales; Enterococcaceae
Description: bacterial SSU rRNA
Rfam family: Bacterial small subunit ribosomal RNA
Source: RNAcentral
GGAGCUUGCUCCACCGGAAAAAGAAGAGUGGCGAACGGGUGAGUAACACGUGGGUAACCUGCCCAUCAGAAGGGGAUAACACUUGGAAACAGGUGCUAAUACCGUAUAACAAUCAAAACCGCAUGGUUUUGAUUUGAAAGGCGCUUUCGGGUGUCGCUGAUGGAUGGACCCGCGGUGCAUUAGCUAGUUGGUGAGGUAACGGCUCACCAAGGCCACGAUGCAUAGCCGACCUGAGAGGGUGAUCGGCCACAUUGGGACUGAGACACGGCCCAAACUCCUACGGGAGGCAGCAGUAGGGAAUCUUCGGCAAUGGACGAAAGUCUGACCGAGCAACGCCGCGUGAGUGAAGAAGGUUUUCGGAUCGUAAAACUCUGUUGUUAGAGAAGAACAAGGAUGAGAGUAACUGUUCAUCCCUUGACGGUAUCUAACCAGAAAGCCACGGCUAACUACGUGCCAGCAGCCGCGGUAAUACGUAGGUGGCAAGCGUUGUCCGGAUUUAUUGGGCGUAAAGCGAGCGCAGGCGGUUUCUUAAGUCUGAUGUGAAAGCCCCCGGCUCAACCGGGGAGGGUCAUUGGAAACUGGGAGACUUGAGUGCAGAAGAGGAGAGUGGAAUUCCAUGUGUAGCGGUGAAAUGCGUAGAUAUAUGGAGGAACACCAGUGGCGAAGGCGGCUCUCUGGUCUGUAACUGACGCUGAGGCUCGAAAGCGUGGGGAGCAAACAGGAUUAGAUACCCUGGUAGUCCACGCCGUAAACGAUGAGUGCUAAGUGUUGGAGGGUUUCCGCCCUUCAGUGCUGCAGCUAACGCAUUAAGCACUCCGCCUGGGGAGUACGACCGCAAGGUUGAAACUCAAAGGAAUUGACGGGGGCCCGCACAAGCGGUGGAGCAUGUGGUUUAAUUCGAAGCAACGCGAAGAACCUUACCAGGUCUUGACAUCCUUUGACCACUCUAGAGAUAGAGCUUCCCCUUCGGGGGCAAAGUGACAGGUGGUGCAUGGUUGUCGUCAGCUCGUGUCGUGAGAUGUUGGGUUAAGUCCCGCAACGAGCGCAACCCUUAUUGUUAGUUGCCAUCAUUCAGUUGGGCACUCUAGCAAGACUGCCGGUGACAAACCGGAGGAAGGUGGGGAUGACGUCAAAUCAUCAUGCCCCUUAU